GACGAACGCUGGCGGCGUGCUUAACACAUGCAAGUCGAACGGAAAGGCCCUGCUUGCAGGGUACUCGAGUGGCGAACGGGUGAGUAACACGUGGGUGAUCUGCCCUGCACUUCGGGAUAAGCCUGGGAAACUGGGUCUAAUACCGGAUAGGAGCCAUUUUUAGUGUGAUGGUUGGAAAGUUUUUUCGGUGUAGGAUGAGCUCGCGGCCUAUCAGCUUGUUGGUGGGGUAAUGGCCUACCAAGGCGGCGACGGGUAGCCGGCCUGGGAGGGUGGACGGCCACAUUGGGACUGAGAUACGGCCCAGACUCCUACGGGAGGCAGCAGUGGGGAAUAUUGCACAAUGGGCGCAAGCCUGAUGCAGCGACGCUGCGUGGGGGAUGACGGCCUUCGGGUUGUAAACUCCUUUCGCUAGGGACGAAGCUUUUUGUGACGGUACCUAGAUAAGAAGCACCGGCUAACUACGUG
RNAcentral lists this ribosomal RNA (465 nucleotides) under uncultured bacterium. Its description in RNAcentral is "partial 16S ribosomal RNA". It matches the Rfam family "Bacterial small subunit ribosomal RNA", at positions 28 to 507 of the family's 1533-position model. The record is from RNAcentral.